UUUUUUAUCUAGCAAAUAAAAAUAUUUAAUCUCUGUUUUAUUUGUCUAGCAAAUAAGAAUAGUAUAGGGUAUCUUUGAAAGAAAAAGAAAACUCACUUUCUGAGAGCUCACAGGGAGGUUAGCGUUUCAUCAGAGCUCACCAGGGAGGUUGCUCGUUUGUUUCUCUCAAAGAGAUUUGGAAAAGAUCUGACACUGUCUAUCAAACUAAAUCAGUAGCAUAAUUUUUCUUUGGGUGAGUAAUAAUUUAUUUUGGAGAAACGGCAUAAGCUUCCCAGGUAAACUUUCUUUUGCUCUAUAAGCAUAAGCUUAUACUGAUUCUUGUCUACAUUUGACUUGCAAAAUUUAUUCAUUAGUUAGUGUUUAGACUUCACUUCCAAGUGGAAACAUUGUGCAUACUGGAGUUGUGUGAUACGGCAGAUGAUGCUUGGGGCAGAUGGAAAGGAUUUCCCUACAAUAUCAGAGAACAAAUAUGCAAUAAAUUUAAGACGAAAUGUGUAUGGCAGUCAUAUUAUGAGAAGAAAAUAAAUUCUAUUUUUGAGAAGAAUGCUCGUAUACAAGUAACUGAAAUGUUGUUUAUAGCUUGAAAAAUAAUGAAAAGCCCAGUUGACUACGAGCAGACAUAUGGGUUAAAUUUUUGGAGACAUGGAACACUACUGAAUUUAAGGAGAAGUGUGAGCGAGCAGAGGUAGCUUGGACAUCCGUAAAGGGUGGCUGCUUACACACCGGAGGUUCUAUGAGUUUUGCAGCCCACAAAACGAAAAAUGACAUUUAUUUCAGGUUCAAUUUCAUAGAGGCUUGGAUGAAUGGCGUCAGACACAUCCUACUCAGAGGUUGAUUCCUCAUCAUCUAGUGCUAUUACAUCUAUAUGGAUAAAUGUGGCAGGAGGUGUGAAGAAAGGUAGAGUUUACGGAAUGGGAGCACAACCUUCCUCAUUUAAUUUUCAUCCAUCAUCAUUAUUGUCUGGUGCUUCUACUUCUCAAUCUUCAAAAUAAAUGGAAGCAAUGCAAAGACAAAUUUCAGAGCUUACAGAACGACUUCAAUCAUCUGAAGCUAACUUUGCUAAAGUGCAAAAAUUUAUGGAGAAACAUAUGGUUGAAUCUGAUGAAAGUGAAAGGACCAACUCUGAUGAAGAGUAGACUAUUUUAUAGUUGUGUAGAUAUAUUUUGUGAGAUUUAGAAAUGUUUUGAACAUUUUACUUCCUUUUUGCAUAAUAACUUAAUACUUAUUAGACUUGAUUUUGGUGAUGCUUGAGCUGUUAGACUCAAUUGAAUUGAAUAGAAAGCAAUAUGAAUGUUUUGGAAUGUAUUUGAUGUUUCAUAUUA
Molecule: non-coding RNA, 1322 nt
Organism: Solanum lycopersicum (tomato)
Lineage: Eukaryota; Viridiplantae; Streptophyta; Magnoliopsida; Solanales; Solanaceae
Source: RefSeq, a predicted model, not a curated record